This 627-nucleotide ribosomal RNA is filed under the name Escherichia coli. RNAcentral describes it as "bacterial SSU rRNA". It matches the Rfam family "Bacterial small subunit ribosomal RNA", at positions 895 to 1522 of the family's 1533-position model. Lineage: Bacteria; Pseudomonadati; Pseudomonadota; Gammaproteobacteria; Enterobacterales; Enterobacteriaceae. The record is from RNAcentral.
UAAAACUCAAAUGAAUUGACGGGGGCCCGCACAAGCGGUGGAGCAUGUGGUUUAAUUCGAUGCAACGCGAAGAACCUUACCUGGUCUUGACAUCCACGGAAGUUUUCAGAGAUGAGAAUGUGCCUUCGGGAACCGUGAGACAGGUGCUGCAUGGCUGUCGUCAGCUCGUGUUGUGAAAUGUUGGGUUAAGUCCCGCAACGAGCGCAACCCUUAUCCUUUGUUGCCAGCGGUCCGGCCGGGAACUCAAAGGAGACUGCCAGUGAUAAACUGGAGGAAGGUGGGGAUGACGUCAAGUCAUCAUGGCCCUUACGACCAGGGCUACACACGUGCUACAAUGGCGCAUACAAAGAGAAGCGACCUCGCGAGAGCAAGCGGACCUCAUAAAGUGCGUCGUAGUCCGGAUUGGAGUCUGCAACUCGACUCCAUGAAGUCGGAAUCGCUAGUAAUCGUGGAUCAGAAUGCCACGGUGAAUACGUUCCCGGGCCUUGUACACACCGCCCGUCACACCAUGGGAGUGGGUUGCAAAAGAAGUAGGUAGCUUAACCUUCGGGAGGGCGCUUACCACUUUGUGAUUCAUGACUGGGGUGAAGUCGUAACAAGGUAACCGUAGGGGAACCUGCGGUUGGA